CCUACGGGAGGCAGCAGUGGGGAAUAUUCCACAAUGGGGGAAACCCUGAUGCAGCGACGCCGCGUGAGUGAAGAAGUAUUUCGGUAUGUAAAGCUCUAUCAGCAGGGAAGAAAAUGACGGUACCUGAUUAAGAAGCCCCGGCUAACUACGUGCCAGCAGCCGCUGUAAUACGUAGGGGGCAAGCGUUAUCCGGAUUUACUGGGUGUAAAGGGAGCGGAGACGGCAGCACAAGUCUGGAGUGAAAUGCCUGGGCUUAACCCCGGAACUGCUUUGGAAACUGUGCAGCUAGAGUGCAGGAGAGGUAAGUGGAAUUCCUAGUAUAGCGGUGAAAUGCGUAGAUAUUAGGAGGAACACCAGUGGCGAAGGCGGCUUACUGGACUGUAACUGACGUUGAGGCUCGAAAGCGUGGGGAGCAAACAGGAUUAGAUACCCUGGUAGUC
Molecule: ribosomal RNA, 440 nt
Filed under: uncultured bacterium
Lineage: Bacteria
Description: partial 16S ribosomal RNA
Rfam family: Bacterial small subunit ribosomal RNA
Source: RNAcentral